Molecule: small RNA, 732 nt
Filed under: Miersia humilis
Lineage: Eukaryota; Viridiplantae; Streptophyta; Magnoliopsida; Asparagales; Amaryllidaceae
Description: eukaryotic LSU rRNA
Rfam family: 5.8S ribosomal RNA (bases 295-450)
Source: RNAcentral
AGGUUUCCGUAGGUGAACCUGCGGAAGGAUCAUUGUCGUUACCGGAGAGGAAGAAUGCGAACUUGUCAAGGUGCGCUUUUGGUAGCGGGAUAAGCAACAGUCGUCUGAUGCACUCUCUCGCUCUUCAAGGCAUCCCUUGCCGCCCCUGACCCGUGUCAAGCAUGGAUUGGUGGUGGGAACAAGAACCCGGCGCGGUCUGCGCCAAGGAACAGUUUUCUUGGAGAGCAUUUCAAGCCACAAUGCCUAUCUUUGUGGAGUGUGUGAUGCAAUCCUUGUUAGUGCGAGAACCUGCAUGACUCUCGGCAACGGAUAUCUUGGCUCUCGCAUCGAUGAAGAACGUAGCAAAAUGCGAUACUUGGUGUGAAUUGCAGAAUCCCGUGAAUCAUCGAGUUUUUGAACGCAAGUUGCGCCCGAGGCCGUCUGGUCAAGGGCACGCCUGCCUGGGCGUCACGCCUACCGUCACUCCAUGCACUUGGUCUACCUGCUCGAGGUGGAUGACUUGGAUGGAUGUGUAUAUUGGCCCUUUGUGCUUUUUGCGGCAUGAUGGGUUAAAGUGUCGGCUUUGCUGCAGGUUUUGAUCGCGGCGAGUGGUGGACGGAGUUUCAUGCACGACGCCUUUUGCCGCGGACAAUAGUAACCGGCCUAUGUGGAGCAUGAAAGGAACCUAAGAAGAAGGCGCGUUAUUGCGUCCUCGGACCAUGACCCCAGGUCAGGCGGGAACACCCGCUGAGC